GUCUGAUCACCGAAGUUAAGCAACGUCAAGCAUGGUUAGUACUUAGAUGAGUGACCGAUUGAGAAUACCAGGUGCCGUGA
Molecule: non-coding RNA, 80 nt
Organism: Acanthosepion pharaonis
Lineage: Eukaryota; Metazoa; Mollusca; Cephalopoda; Sepiida; Sepiidae
Source: the annotation of a GenBank genome assembly